UGAGUAACCUGCCCUUCACUCUGGGAUAACUCCGGGAAACCGGGGCUAAUACUGGAUAUGACCUACUCGGGCAUCCGAUGUGGGUGGAAAGAUUUAUUGGGUGGGGGAUGGACUCGCGGCCUAUCAGCUUGUUGGUGAGGUAAUGGCUCACCAAGGCGACGACGGGUAGCCGGCCUGAGAGGGCGAUCGGCCACACUGGGACUGAGACACGGCCCAGACUCCUACGGGAGCAG
Molecule: ribosomal RNA, 233 nt
Filed under: uncultured bacterium
Lineage: Bacteria
Description: partial 16S ribosomal RNA
Rfam family: Bacterial small subunit ribosomal RNA
Source: RNAcentral